CAACCCUUAAGCCCUGUUGCUUAGUGUUGGGAGUCUAGGCCUUCCGGGCCUAGUUCCUCAAAGUCAUUGGCGGAGUUAGGGUAUACUCUGAGCGUAGUAGUGUUCUUCUCGCUUUUGCAGUAGCCCUGGCGGCUGGCCGUAAAACCCCUAUAUCUUUUAGU
This 161-nucleotide unclassified non-coding RNA is filed under the name uncultured Nodulisporium. Its description in RNAcentral is "sequence contains ITS2". Lineage: Eukaryota; Fungi; Ascomycota; Sordariomycetes; Xylariales; Xylariaceae. The record is from RNAcentral.